CUUAACUUUGAGGAACGUGAUAGCUUGCGGGUCGACCAAACAUUUGACGUCUUUGUCAACAUCCAACCUCUGUUUGUCAAUAAAUAUACCCAAACUUCCUGGGAAAACGCCCUUGUCCAGUACGAGAAACACGUAUCUCCCAUUGAGCGCACAGUAGCUCAAAAACUAUCCAAGAAUAUAAAGGCAAUGAUGAGGAGUAAAUCUGUCAACCCCCAAGUUCUGCUGUCCGAGCUCGUUCGUUACAAACAUUUGGUGAUGCGACCAGAAAUCAAGAAGAUCCUUGUCACGGAACGGGAAACCGUGCUUUCGAGCAUUACUUCGUAUGUUUCGCAGCUCGACGGUGAAUUUGAAUCA
RNAcentral lists this ribosomal RNA (354 nucleotides) under Mucochytrium quahogii. RNAcentral's name for it is "labyrinthulid quahog parasite QPX partial Bacterial small subunit ribosomal RNA". The record is from RNAcentral. Lineage: Eukaryota; Bigyra; Thraustochytrida; Thraustochytriidae.